Molecule: unclassified non-coding RNA, 234 nt
Filed under: uncultured Lactarius
Lineage: Eukaryota; Fungi; Basidiomycota; Agaricomycetes; Russulales; Russulaceae
Description: sequence contains ITS2
Source: RNAcentral
AAAUCUCAACCUCCUCGGUUUCUUUUGGAUGCCAAAGGAGGCUUGGACUUUGGAGGGCUUUGCUGGACUUUGAAAGGCCAGCUCCUCUCAAAUGGAUUAGCGAGGUUCCCUUUGCCGAUCCUCGACGUGUGAUAAGAUGCUUCCACGUCUUGGUCUUUGGCUCUGUCGCCUUUUGGGACCUGCUUCCAAUCGUCUCUUGACGAGACAACGUUCGAGCACGUCUCGACCACGUAC